GCCCUCAUAGUUCAACGGAUAGAACACGGACCUUCUAAGUCUGCAAUGGGGGUUCGAUUCCUCCUGAGGGCACAA
This 75-nucleotide transfer RNA is filed under the name Candidatus Nealsoniibacteriota bacterium. RNAcentral's name for it is "tRNA-Arg". It matches the Rfam family "tRNA". From Rfam's summary of the family: Transfer RNA (tRNA) molecules are approximately 80 nucleotides in length. Their secondary structure includes four short double-helical elements and three loops (D, anti-codon, and T loops). The record is from RNAcentral. Lineage: Bacteria; Candidatus Nealsoniibacteriota.